AAGGAUCCAUUAGUAACUGCGAGUGAAACGGGAUGAGCCCAGCGCUGAAUCUUCGUGCUGUAAUGGUGCGGCGAACUGUAGCGUAUAGAGGCGGUUUUUUGUGAUUGAGUGCUGCUUAAGUUCCCCUUGACUGGGGUUCCAUAGAAGGUGUUAGGCCUGUUAAGCGGUUACCUGAUUGCGAAUGAUCGUUUCUGGGAGUCGGGUUGUUUGGAAACACAGCCCUAAGUAGGUGGUAUACUCCAUCUAAGGCUAAAUAUUACCACAAGUCCGAUAGCGAACAAGUACCGUGAGGGAAAGUUGCAAAGUACUCUGAAGAGAGAGUUAAAAAGGACGUGAAACUGAUAAAGUGUAAGCGGAUAGAGUUGACGAACCUUAACUCGUAAUCAGCCGGUUGGCUUGUAUGCGGUGUGUUGGCGUUUUACCGUUCAGGUUAGCGUUGGCGCAUGCAGUAUGCGGUUUGACUGGUGCACUUGCGAGUGGUGCGCUGAUGCGAAUGAUUGAGCUGCGGGAAGCGUAUUAAGAGGGCAUUCCUUCGCGGGAGUGUGUACUUGUUGCGUGGAAAGCGGUCUCUUGGUUAUUCGGUUGCGAAUGUGCGUGUACCUUGGUGGUUGCAUUGCUGGUGCUCGGUUGGGAUCGCGUGCGAUUUCGCUUUGCAUUGGUAGUGUUACUGUUUGGGGAAGCGUGCGUUUCAUCGGUGUAAAAGUCGACCACCUAUCCGUCCCGUCUUGAAACACGGACCAAGGAGUUUAACGUAUGCGCRAGUCAUUGGGUGUGCAAAACCUAAAGGCGUAAUGAAAGUAAAGGCUUCCGUUGGGUUGCUUAUAUGUGAUUUGUGYUGUUUCGGCAGCGCAAAGCAGCAUGGUCCCGUCUAUGCCGUAUACGGUUGGGCGGAGAUAGAGCGUAUGCGUUGAGACCCGAAAGAUGGUGAACUAUGCCUGAGCAGGAUGAAGCCGGAGGAAACUCCGGUGGAAGUCCGAAGCGGUUCUGACGUGCAAAUCGAUCGUCUGACUUGGGUAUAGGGGCGAAAGACUAAUCGACAUC
This 1041-nucleotide ribosomal RNA is filed under the name Panagrobelus stammeri. RNAcentral describes it as "eukaryotic LSU rRNA". It matches the Rfam family "Eukaryotic large subunit ribosomal RNA", at positions 70 to 944 of the family's 3401-position model. Lineage: Eukaryota; Metazoa; Nematoda; Chromadorea; Rhabditida; Panagrolaimidae. The record is from RNAcentral.